CCUACGGGUGGCAGCAGUGGGGAAUUUUGGACAAUGGGGGCAACCCUGAUCCAGCGACGCCGCGUGAAGGAUGAAGGUCUUCGGAUUGUAAACUUCUUUUGAUGGGGAUGCAGUACCCGUUGAAUAAGCCACGGCUAACUACGUGCCAGCAGCCGCGGUAAUACGUAGGUGGCAAGCGAUACUCGGAAUCACUAGGCGUAAAGCGCAGGUAGGCGGUUCGGUAAGUCUUUUGUGAAAGCUCCCGGCUUAACUGGGAGAGGCCAAGGGAAACUACUGAGCUAGAGUGUGGUAGGGGAUACUGGAAUUCCUGGUGUAGCGGUGAAAUGCGUAGAUAUCAGGAGGAAUACCUAUGGCGAAAGCAGGUAUCUGGGCCAUACUGACGCUGAGCUGCGAAAGCUAGGGGAGCAAACAGGAUUAGAUACCCUUGUAGUC
RNAcentral lists this ribosomal RNA (432 nucleotides) under uncultured bacterium. RNAcentral's name for it is "partial 16S ribosomal RNA". It matches the Rfam family "Bacterial small subunit ribosomal RNA", at positions 338 to 795 of the family's 1533-position model. The record is from RNAcentral.